UGAAGUUCAUGUUAGCCAACCACUCUGUUUAUGUGUCUCUUGAAAGCUACGGGUGAAAUAUUGUGUAUGCAGUGCUUGAAAAUUCAGCCUGUUGGGCCAGGUUGCUCAAUUUCUUCCUGUGGUGGACUAUCGAUAGCAGAGUAAUAUUGCAGUACUUGCAAAUUUUAAAAUGAUAAAAG
Corylus avellana is the source of this 179-nucleotide non-coding RNA. The record is from RefSeq and is a predicted model, not a curated record. Lineage: Eukaryota; Viridiplantae; Streptophyta; Magnoliopsida; Fagales; Betulaceae.